GCGUAACGCGUGAGUAACACGUGGGCAAUCUGCCCUGCACUCUGGGACAAGCCCUGGAAACGGGGUCUAAUACCGGAUACUGAUCCGCCUGGGCAUCCAGGCGGUUCGAAAGCUCCGGCGGUGCAGGAUGAGCCCGCGGCCUAUCAGCUUGUUGGUGAGGUAGUGGCUCACCAAGGCGACUACAGGUAGCCGGCCUGAGAGAGCGACCGGCCACACUGGGACUGAGACACGGCCCACACUCCUACGCGAGGCAGCAGUGGGGAAUAUUGCACAAUGUGCGAGAGCCUGAUCCAAGGACGCCCCGUGAGUGAUGACACACUUCGGAUUGUGAACCUCUUU
RNAcentral lists this ribosomal RNA (339 nucleotides) under Streptomyces sp. Its description in RNAcentral is "bacterial SSU rRNA". It matches the Rfam family "Bacterial small subunit ribosomal RNA", at positions 97 to 436 of the family's 1533-position model. The record is from RNAcentral. Lineage: Bacteria; Bacillati; Actinomycetota; Actinomycetes; Kitasatosporales; Streptomycetaceae.